RNAcentral lists this unclassified non-coding RNA (430 nucleotides) under soil metagenome. RNAcentral describes it as "partial contains 5.8S ribosomal RNA, internal transcribed spacer 2, and large subunit ribosomal RNA". The stretch from base 1 to 120 matches the Rfam family "5.8S ribosomal RNA", at positions 35 to 154 of the family's 154-position model. The record is from RNAcentral.
GAUGAAGAACGUAGCGAAAUGCGAUACGUAAUGUGAAUUGCAGAAUUCAGUGAAUCAUCGAAUCUUUGAACGCAUAUUGCGCUCUCUGGUAUUCCUGAGAGCAUGCUUGUUUGAGUAUCAGUAAACACCUCAACUCCCUUUUCUUUUUUGAAAUUGGAGCUGGACUUGAGUGAUCCCAACGCUUUCUUCCAAGAAAGUGGCGGGUUGCUUGAAAUGCAGGUGCAGCUGAACUUUUCUCUGAGCUAUAAGCAUAUCUAUUUAGUCUGCCUAAAAAACAGAUUAUUACCUUUGCUGCAGCUAACAUAAAGGAGACUAGUUCUUGUGCUGACUGAUGCAGGAUUCACAGAGACAGCUUCGGCUGACUUUGUAAACUCGAUCUCAAAUCAAGUAAGACUACCCGCUGAACUUAAGCAUAUCAAUAAGCGGAGGA